This 171-nucleotide ribosomal RNA is filed under the name uncultured bacterium. RNAcentral describes it as "partial 16S ribosomal RNA". It matches the Rfam family "Bacterial small subunit ribosomal RNA", at positions 337 to 525 of the family's 1533-position model. The record is from RNAcentral.
UCCUACGGGAGGCAGCAGUGGGGAAUAUUGGACAAUGGGCGCAAGCCUGAUCCAGCCAUGCCGCGUGAGUGAUGAAGGCCUUAGGGUUGUAAAGCUCUUUUGUCCGGGACGAUAAUGACGGUACCGGAAGAAUAAGCCCCGGCUAACUUCGUGCCAGCAGCCGCGGUAAUA